This 963-nucleotide long non-coding RNA is filed under the name Arachis ipaensis. RNAcentral describes it as "long non-coding RNA (AIPA_LNC000555)". Lineage: Eukaryota; Viridiplantae; Streptophyta; Magnoliopsida; Fabales; Fabaceae. The record is from RNAcentral.
CUUAUUUAAAGAUUUGUCAUAUAUACAUAUUUAAUUUAACGAAUUUUUAAAUUUUCAUUAUUUUAAAGAACCAAGCCAUUUGAUUCUUUCACUCAAACAACAACAAAAAUCGGGUCCCUCAAAGACCUAACUUUCUCGCAAGCAUAUAAAUAGGAGCGAUAAAAAGUAAAAACUGAACGAAGCACAAUAAUAGCUUAUAUAGUUUCAGUUUCAUUCCAUUUUUUUUUCCUUUAAAGGAUUCCAUGGAUAGAAGAUUUUAUUCUGGCGUCGACGGUGGCGGCGGCGGCGGCAUGAAUCGUAGCAUCUCCAUGUCAGAGCUAAUAAGGUUCUCCAAUGAUAAUAAGAAAGGAUCCAUGGAAGACGUGCUUUAUGGCAAAGAAGACCAUCAAGAAUUCAACAAUAGUUACGUGUACAAGGGGGAUGUGGUUGAGUCCAUGAGAAGUGAAAGAGAAUCCAAAGAGUUGAAAAGGAAGAUGAAGAAGAAGCAGAACAUGUUUUGGAGCUUUUUUCAGUCUUGCUUUGAGUUCUUGAGGAUUCUGGGUUAGUUAGUUCAUCAGCAUGUUUUCUAAUGUGAUUAGUUUUUUAAUUAGUGAAUUUAAUUAGGGAUUAUUAUUAUAAUUCAAUCGAAUUGUAUAUACAAUUUUUUUUUUCAAGCAUCAUAUUGCAUUUAAUUUAGCUAAAUUGAACACACAUGCUUCUUAAGUAAUUAACUCAUUGUUACAGAUCACAGAGAUUGAUGCAUAGGGAAAAUUAAAUUAGAUUAGAUUAGAUUAGAUAUAUCAUAGUCGGUGCCUAAAGUUUGCUAAUAAUUAUUUGCUUGUUUAAUUGCUAGUUACUGAUUUGCUAAUUGAUACGUGUGUGAUAGUAACAUAACAUGUGAAUAUUAUUGUGGUUGUUGUCAGAGUCAAUUCAUGGUUUAGAGCUUUUUUUUCAUUAGAAACGUGAUAAUUUAUUUUUAUAUGA